UACGUAGGUGGCGAGCGUUGUCCGGAAUCACUGGGCGUAAAGGGCGCGUAGGCGGCUUAGCAAGUCGCAUGUGAAAAACCAGGGCUCAACCCUGGGGGGUCAUGCGAAACUGCUGGGCUUGAGUGCAGUAGAGGUAAGCGGAAUUCCUGGUGUAGCGGUAAAAUGCGUAGAGAUCAGGAGGAACACCGGUGGCGAAGGCGGCUUACUGGGCUGCAACUGACGCUGAGGCGCGAAAGCGUGGGGAGCAAACAGG
This 253-nucleotide ribosomal RNA is filed under the name uncultured bacterium. RNAcentral describes it as "partial 16S ribosomal RNA". It matches the Rfam family "Bacterial small subunit ribosomal RNA", at positions 524 to 776 of the family's 1533-position model. The record is from RNAcentral.